This 645-nucleotide unclassified non-coding RNA is filed under the name uncultured Prochlorococcus sp. Its description in RNAcentral is "partial 16S-23S ribosomal RNA intergenic spacer; may also contain 16S ribosomal RNA and 23S ribosomal RNA". The stretch from base 305 to 377 matches the Rfam family "tRNA". The record is from RNAcentral. Lineage: Bacteria; Bacillati; Cyanobacteriota; Cyanophyceae; Synechococcales; Prochlorococcaceae.
UUGUGGAGGAGGACGCCGAAGGUGGGGCUAAUGACUGGGGUGAAGUCGUAACAAGGUAGCCGUACCGGAAGGUGCGGCUGGAUCACCUCCUAACAGGGAGACAACAAAAUGUUAAAUAUUAAUUUUGUCACCUUAGGUCGAUCGGUACCUCACAUUCUUAACUUAUUUAAGGAUUUUAUUUCCUAAGUUUUCUCUAGGUCACACCCAUUACUUUUCCUGGGCCAUUAGCUCAGGUGGUUAGAGCGCACCCCUGAUAAGGGUGAGGUCCCUGGUUCAAGUCCAGGAUGGCCCAUCUCUCUAUGUUGGGGGUAUAGCUCAGUUGGUAGAGCGCCUGCUUUGCAAGCAGGAUGUCAGCGGUUCGAGUCCGCUUACCUCCACUGAUCACCACCUCUUCCAUAUGUACAGAAAGGAAAUGUUUUGCGUUGUGAUCAAAUUCUGAACGAAUCUAGCUUCCUAAUCAAACUUAUUAAGAUGCUGGACUCAUUGAAUUAAAUUCAUUGUUUUCAGAGAACCUUGACAACUGCAUAGAUUAUUUUUAAAGACAAUAAGCAUCUUUAAUGAUGCAGAUUUAUUAUUUGUGCGAAUGCAUUAAUAACAAUUCUAUUAAGCUGAUGCUUCAUUUUGAAGUUAUUGGUCAAGCUACAA